RNAcentral lists this transfer RNA (65 nucleotides) under Ventrifossa garmani (Sagami grenadier). Its description in RNAcentral is "tRNA-Cys". Lineage: Eukaryota; Metazoa; Chordata; Actinopteri; Gadiformes; Macrouridae. The record is from RNAcentral.
AGUCUCGGGGUGUAACACGUCAGAUUGCAAAUCUGAAGAAGCAGAGUAAACGUCUGCCGGGACUU